GACAGAGGGUGCAAACGUUGUUCGGAAUUACUGGGCGUAAAGCGUGCGCAGGCGGUUCGUUAUGUCCGAUGUGAAAGCCCCGAGCUCAACUUGGGAAUGGCAUUGGAAACUGGCGGGCUGGAGUGUGGCAGAGGGGGGUGGAAUUCCACGUGUAGCAGUGAAAUGCGUAGAGAUGCGGAGGAACACCGAUGGCGAAGGCAGCCCCCUGGGCCAACACUGACGCUCAGGCACGAAAGCGUGGGGAGCAAACAGG
This 253-nucleotide ribosomal RNA is filed under the name uncultured bacterium. RNAcentral describes it as "partial 16S ribosomal RNA". It matches the Rfam family "Bacterial small subunit ribosomal RNA", at positions 524 to 776 of the family's 1533-position model. The record is from RNAcentral.